GGAAGGUUAUGAAAGCUCCAAGGAAUCAUUUGGCUCUUUGUGAGUUAUUCUUUUAGAAUUUCUGGGCAUUCCACUUGUGGAUUUUAUCGCAGGACAAAUUCCUGGUUGUCCUUGGAAAUGUGUCUGCAAGCAAAUUCUCAGAAGCCCUAUAAACAGUGGGAAAACCUUGAAGCUACCUACAUUUGACAGAAGUGGAAUAUUUCUGAGCCAAGGGUGGUUGGAUCUGCAAUUAUGUAACCAGCAGAUCUGGAGGGCUGACUACAUUCCUAAACAGGAAAAAACAAUCUAGAAGAUGCCACCAAGAGAAAAUCCUCUUCAGUGGAUGCCAGCCCAUCUCCCAAGGACGCGUCCCAUUUCUGCACAUCUCUUAUGUUCCAGUCAAGAGCAUGUUCUUGCCUGUUCCUCAAACAGGUAGCUCAACCCUGCUCCUUCCCUGUGCUCCUGUUGCUUCUCCAACUCAUGAGAUACCCACCCUGCUCACCCCCACAUCAUGUCCACAAGGACUCCACACACUAUCUC
Long non-coding RNA from Ochotona curzoniae (black-lipped pika), 519 nucleotides. RefSeq lists it as uncharacterized. The transcript is spliced from 4 exons. Lineage: Eukaryota; Metazoa; Chordata; Mammalia; Lagomorpha; Ochotonidae. The record is from RefSeq and is a predicted model, not a curated record.